UGAGGGGGGCUGCUCCUAGUACGAGAGGACCGGAGUGGACGCAUCACUGGUGUUCGGGUUGUCAUGCCAAUGGCACUGCCCGGUAGCUAAAUGCGGAAAAGAUAAGUGCUGAAAGCAUCUAAGCACGAAACUUGCCCCGAGAUGAGUCUUCCCUGAGACUUUGAGUCUCCUGAAGGAACGUUAAAGACGAUGACGUUGAUAGGCCGGGUGUGUAAGCGCAGCGAUGCGCUGAGCUAACCGGUACUAAUGAACCGUGAGGCUUAACCUUACAACGCCGAAG
Molecule: ribosomal RNA, 280 nt
Filed under: Salmonella enterica
Lineage: Bacteria; Pseudomonadati; Pseudomonadota; Gammaproteobacteria; Enterobacterales; Enterobacteriaceae
Description: partial 23S ribosomal RNA
Rfam family: Bacterial large subunit ribosomal RNA
Source: RNAcentral